UUGGCAGAGUUGAAGUUUAAAGUCUAUUUAUCCAGGGAACAGGUACAGUAAGGCAGUAACAAUGCAAGUUUCCCCAACGCUACCCUGCUAGUGUACUCACUCCUGACCUGCAGAGUGGAGUUUAAGCUCUAUGCUUGUUCUCUUAGCUGAA
This 151-nucleotide small RNA is filed under the name Chelonoidis abingdonii (Abingdon island giant tortoise). RNAcentral's name for it is "TUC338 (ENSCABG00000002813.1)". Lineage: Eukaryota; Metazoa; Chordata; Testudines; Testudinidae. The record is from RNAcentral.